RNAcentral lists this ribosomal RNA (404 nucleotides) under Verrucomicrobiota bacterium. Its description in RNAcentral is "Verrucomicrobia bacterium partial 16S ribosomal RNA". It matches the Rfam family "Bacterial small subunit ribosomal RNA", at positions 355 to 776 of the family's 1533-position model. The record is from RNAcentral. Lineage: Bacteria; Pseudomonadati; Verrucomicrobiota.
UGGGGAAUAUUGGACAAUGGGCGCAAGCCUGAUCCAGCCAUGCCGCGUGAGUGAUGAAGGCCCUAGGGUUGUAAAGCUCUUUCACCGGUGAAGAUAAUGACGGUAACCGGAGAAGAAGCCCCGGCUAACUUCGUGCCAGCAGCCGCGGUAAUACGAAGGGGGCUAGCGUUGUUCGGAUUUACUGGGCGUAAAGCGCACGUAGGCGGACUAUUAAGUCAGGGGUGAAAUCCCGGGGCUCAACCCCGGAACUGCCUUUGAUACUGGUAGUCUUGAGUUCGGGAGAGGUGAGUGGAAUUCCGAGUGUAGAGGUGAAAUUCGUAGAUAUUCGGGGGAACACCAGUGGCGAAGACGGCUCACUGGCUCGAUACUGACGCUGCGGUGCGAAAGCGUGGAGAGCAAACAGG